UGCCAUUCUGGCUUGUUGGAGGACACAGGUGGGCUGAGGUUUCAUUGGGUCUGCAUAACUGUGUGGCUUCUGCCUCUGCCCAUUCUGUUGCUUCUCCUUCCCCUUCCCAGAUGUUGACCCCUCAUGAACACCUUGCACUCCAGUAUAUUUCUAAGUGCUUCUGAGAGCCCGGCCUGCAACACCACUUCUCCCCUCUGCCUCCAGCCUAGAGAUGGGAAUGGCUUCCUGCUGGUGCUAAUCUCUAGGUGGCCUCACCAUGUCCCAUUUGGACACUCUGCUCUUGCAUCAUCCAUGUAAUCAAUUAACUGCAUUAAAUCCCCAUCUCUUUAAAUAAAGUAGGUUCUGACACAGCCAACAUUAUACUGAAUGGGGAAAAGUUGAAAGCGUUCCUCCUGAGAACUGGAACAAGACAAGGAUGUUCACUUUCACCACUUCUAUUCAACAUAGUACUGGAAGUCCUAGCCAGAGCAAUCAGACAAGAGAAGGCAAUAAAGGACAUCCAAAAAAGUAAAGAGGAAGUCAAACUGUCACUGUUUGCUGAUGAUAUGAUUGUAUACCUAGAAAACCCUAAGAACUUAUCCAAAAAGCUCCUAGAACUGAUUAAUGAAUUCAGUAAAGUUUCAGGAUACAGAAUUAAUGUACACAAGUCAGUAGCACUGCUGUACACCAACAGUAACCAAGCUGAGAAUCAAAUCAAGAACUCAGCCUCUUUUACAAUAGCUGCAAAAAAUAAAAUAAAAUACUGAGGAAUAUACCUGUUACCAAGGAGGUGAAAGACCUCUACAAUGAAAACUAUAAAACACUGCUGAAAGAAAUCAUAGAUGACACAAACAAAUGGAAACACAUCUCAUGCUCAUGGAUGGGUAGAAUCAAUAUCGUGAAAAUGACCAUACUGCGAAAAGCAAUCUACAAAUUCAGUGCAAUUCCCAUCACAGUAUCACCAACAUUCUUCACAAAGCUGGAAAAAGCAAUCCUAAAAUUCAUAUGGAAUGAAAAAAGAGCCCGCAUAGCCAAAGCAAUACUAAGCAAAAAGAACAAAUCUAGAGGCGUCACAUUACCCAACUUCGAACUAUACUAUAAGGCCAUAGUCACCAAAACAGCAUGGUACUGGUAUAAAAUAGGUACAUAAACCAAUGGAACAGAAUAGAGAACCCAGAAAUAAAGCUGGAUACUUAUAGCUAACGAGUCUUCAACAAAGCAAACAAAAUAAAGUGGGGAAAGGACACCCCAUUCAACAAAUGGUGCUGGGAUAAUUGUCAAGCCACAUGUAGAAAAAAUGAAACUGGAUCCUCAUCUCUCAUUUUAUACAAAAAUCAACUCAAGAUGGAUCAAAGACUUAAGUCUAAGACCUGAAACCAUAAAAAUUCUAGAAGAUAACAUUGGAAAAACCCUUCUAGACAUUGGCAUAGGCAAAGACUUCACGACCAAGAACCCAAAAGAAAAUGCAACAGAAACAAAGAUAGAUAGGUAGGACUUAAUUAAACUAAAUUACUUCUACACAGCAAAAGAAAUUAUCAGUAUAGACCACCCACAGAAUAGGAGAAAAUCUUUGCAAUCUAUACAUCUGACAAAGGAUUAAUAUCCAGAAUCUACAAGGAACUCAGAUCAGCAAGAAAAAAACAAAGAAUCCCAUCAAAAAAUGGGCUAAGGACAUGAAUAAACAAUUCUCAAAAGAUGUACAAAGGGCCAACAAACAUAUGAAAAAAUAUUCAACAUCACUAAUUAUCAGGGAAAUGCAAAUCAAAACCACAAUGAGAUGCUACCUCACUCCUGCAAGAAUGGCCAUAAUCAAAGAUCAAAAAUAAUAGAUGUUGGCAUGGAUGUGAAGAAAAGGGAACACUUUUACACUGCUGGUGGGAAUGUAAACUAGUACAACCACCAUGGAAAACAGUGUGGAGAUUCCUUAAAGAACUAAAAAUAGAUGUACCAUUUGAUCCAGUGAUCCCACUACUAAGUAUCUACCCAGAGGAAAAGAAGUUAUUAUACUAAAAAGAUACUUGCACAUGGAUGUUUAUAGCAGCACAAUUCGCAAUUGCAAAAAUAUGGAACCAGCCCAAAUGCCCAUCAAUCAAUGAGUGGAUAAAGAAAAUGUGAGGGAUAAAAGACUACACAUUGGGUACAGUGUAUACUGCUUGUGUGAAGGGUGCACCAAAAUCCCAGAAGUCACCACUAAAGGACUUAUUCAUGUAACCAAACACCACCUGUUCCCCAAAAACCUAUUGAAAUGGAAAAUAAAUAAAGUAGGUUCUGUUUUCC
RNAcentral lists this long non-coding RNA (2256 nucleotides) under Homo sapiens (human). RNAcentral's name for it is "non-protein coding lnc-GALNT15-8:8". The record is from RNAcentral. Lineage: Eukaryota; Metazoa; Chordata; Mammalia; Primates; Hominidae.